UUCUUACGGCGGACGGGUGAGUAAUGCUUAGGAAUCUGCCUAUUAGUGGGGGACAACAUUCCGAAAGGGAUGCUAAUACCGCAUACGUCCUACGGGAGAAAGCAGGGGAUCUUCGGACCUUGCGCUAAUAGAUGAGCCUAAGUCGGAUUAGCUAGUUGGUGGGGUAAAGGCCUACCAAGGCGACGAUCUGUAGCGGGUCUGACAGGAUGAUCCGCCACCUGGGACUGAGACCCGGCCCAGACUCCUACGGGAGGCAGCAGUGGGGAAUAUUGGACAAUGGGGGGAACCCUGAUCCAGCCAUGCCGCGUGUGUGAAGAAGGCCUUAUGGUUGUAAAGCACUUUAAGCGAGGAGGAGGCUACUGAGACUAAUACUCUUGGAUAGGGACGUUAC
This 391-nucleotide ribosomal RNA is filed under the name uncultured bacterium. RNAcentral's name for it is "bacterial SSU rRNA". It matches the Rfam family "Bacterial small subunit ribosomal RNA", at positions 90 to 478 of the family's 1533-position model. The record is from RNAcentral.